This 106-nucleotide transfer RNA is filed under the name Nanobdellota archaeon. Its description in RNAcentral is "tRNA-Glu". It matches the Rfam family "tRNA". From Rfam's summary of the family: Transfer RNA (tRNA) molecules are approximately 80 nucleotides in length. Their secondary structure includes four short double-helical elements and three loops (D, anti-codon, and T loops). RNAcentral also lists the same sequence under 1 other name. Lineage: Archaea; Nanobdellati; Nanobdellota. The record is from RNAcentral.
GCCCCGAUGGUGUAGCCCGGAAGCAUUCAGAGAAAUCUGUUCGUUGGGUAACCAAUCAUCUCGGCUUUUCGAGCCGAGGACGUGGGUUCGAAUCCCGCUCGGGGCA